GGAGGAAAAGAACUAACAAGGAUUCCCCUAGUAACUGCGAGUGAAGCGGGAAAAGCUCAAAUUUAAAAUCUGGCGGUCUCUGGCUGUCCGAGUUGUAAUCUAGAGAAGUGAUGCCCGCGCUGGACCGUGUACAAGUCUCCUGGAAUGGAGCGUCAUAGAGGGUGAGAAUCCCGUCUCUGACACGGACUACCAGGGCUUUGUGGUACGCUCUCAAAGAGUCGAGUUGUUUGGGAAUGCAGCUCAAAAUGGGUGGUAAAUUCCAUCUAAAGCUAAAUAUUGGCGAGAGACCGAUAGCGAACAAGUACCGUGAGGGAAAGAUGAAAAGAACUUUGGAAAGAGAGUUAAACAGUACGUGAAAUUGCUGAAAGGGAAACGCUUGAAGUCAGUCGCGUUGGCCGGGGAUCAGCCUCGCUCUUUUGCGUGGUGUACUUUCCGGUUGACGGGUCAGCAUCAAUUUUGACCGCUGGAAAAAGGCUUGAGGAAUGUGGCAGCUCCGGCUGUGUUAUAGCUUCAUGUCAYAUACAGCGGUUGGGAUUGAGGAACUCAGCACGCCGCAAGGCCGGGUUUCGACCACGUCCGUGCUUAGGAUGCUGGCAUAAUGGCUUUA
RNAcentral lists this ribosomal RNA (607 nucleotides) under Mycocepurus smithi symbiont T5. RNAcentral's name for it is "eukaryotic LSU rRNA". It matches the Rfam family "Eukaryotic large subunit ribosomal RNA", at positions 52 to 642 of the family's 3401-position model. Lineage: Eukaryota; Fungi; Basidiomycota; Agaricomycetes; Agaricales; Agaricaceae. The record is from RNAcentral.